RNAcentral lists this ribosomal RNA (577 nucleotides) under Dictyota sp. 3 FS-2015. Its description in RNAcentral is "eukaryotic LSU rRNA". It matches the Rfam family "Eukaryotic large subunit ribosomal RNA", at positions 83 to 655 of the family's 3401-position model. Lineage: Eukaryota; Phaeophyceae; Dictyotales; Dictyotaceae. The record is from RNAcentral.
GUAACGGCGAGUGAAGCGGGAAGAGCUCACGUUGUGAAUCUGGCCCUCGGGCCCGAACUGUACUCUGGAGAGGCGAGGCCAGCCGCUGUCCGCGGCCAAGUCUGAUUGGAAAUGAGCAUCAAGGAGGGUGACAAUCCCGUCCAUGCCGCGGUAUCGAUCAGCGCGCGCCCGGCCCGCUUUCGACGAGUCGAGUUGCUUGGGAUUGCAGCUCAAAGAGGGUGGUAAACUCCAUCCAAAGCUAAACACGGGGGGGAGACCGAUAGCGAACAAGUACCGUGAGGGAAAGAUGCAAAGGACUUUGAAAAGAGAGUUAAAGAGUGCCUGAAAUUGCUGGAAGGGAAGCGAAGGAAAGAAGUGUGCGGUUGCCCGGGCGCCAACCCCUACCUGUCCGCAGGUGGGGGUAGGCCGCCCGGCCGCGGUCAGGGGUUGCGCCGGGCUCGGGGGAAGAGCCGUCGGGGAUCGGUAGGCGUGCCGCCGCUUCGGCGGCGGGGCGCUGUCAGGCCUCGGUGGUGCACAUUUGUUUUUGCCCUGAGCCCGGCCCCCUUCUGGCGGUCGCGGCUUUUCUUCACCCCGUCUU